RNAcentral lists this unclassified non-coding RNA (229 nucleotides) under uncultured fungus. RNAcentral describes it as "sequence contains ITS1". Lineage: Eukaryota; Fungi. The record is from RNAcentral.
GUAUAAGUUUACCGACGCUUUGUUAAGGCGAAGAUAUUGAAUGACAUUCUAUGAGACAUGCGAUGGGUUGAUGAUAAAGACGUAGGGGCCUUGUUACGGGCCCUUACAUUGGGUUCACAGGUGUAUGUGGAUUUAAGGGCUCGGGCGUGCACAUGCCUCGAAAGGGAGGCCAGCUACAACCCUCGCUUAUAAUUCAAUAAUGAUCCUUCCGCAGGUUCACCUACGGAAA